UUUGAACGAAACUAUUACACGGGAAAAAAUCUGAUCCCAUUAUCAUGAUUUACGAAUCAUGAAAAUUAUAAAUUGCUCUUGGGACGAAAUCAUGAUUCAGACUCAUGAUUUUUGAAGCUGAGCUACCAAUAUCAUAAUUCAGAGCAACCAUUUUCAUGAGCUCCAAAUCAUGACCAUGAAAAGCGUUACGCACACGGUGCACCUGUCAAAACGUGUUUAGCAAAGCUUGUGCAAAGCAUAGUUGGCUGCGCAUUCACGGAAAAGUUGCCCUUUUUAAAAAAAAAAGUUCACUUUUAUUGCCGGUUUCCUGCGCCGCUGUUGCUCUACUGUCGUUCCUGCUCUACUAUUCCGUUCCUGCUCCGUUGAUAUCGAGCUAUUCCGGCUCUGCAGAACUACCGCCGUUUCAUUCUGUUCCUUUCCUGCCGUGGCUGUUGCCCGUUCCGGCUCCUGUGUACCCGUUCCGGUUCCGCAUUGAGGGAAAAUUCUUCCGGCUCCGCUCUACUAACUACCGCCGUUUUAUUGUCCCAGUGCCACUGUCGCCAUUCCCGCCGCGGCUGUUGCCGUCCAAUAGGUGCAUCCGUUCCGGCUCCGCAUUGAGUGACCAGCUCCGCCCUACCAACUACCGCUCCCGAUUUUGUUGCCGUUCCGGACGUUUCGUUUUCAGCCUUGGCUGGUUCCGCCCAGUAGGUGUUCCCGUUCCGACUUCCCCCACAACUACCGAACGCAGGUGAUAUAGAAGGGAGGAUCGAGCGGCGACUGAACCAUCUCCGCGAAAAAUUUGGGGAACCAUCGCUACAACCUCAAAUUGUCGCAGUGGGCACGAGCAACUCAACAAAAGCAACGAAGGUUAUUUUUGGCGGCGCGGAGUAUAUCGCAGAUAAUAUUGUGCAUGCUGUAUGCAUUUGUAUGCAUAUCACUUAUGUGCUAAAUUUGCGAUAUACUCCGGACUGCAAACCGCUGUGGCUCUUUGUUCAGUCAUACCUGUUCAAAAUCCCGGCGUCCAUUAUUGAGCUCCCGAAGAGCACACGUGAUUUGCUAAAAGGUAUAGAUAAUUAAACUGGAAGAUCGUUUUUUUUUCUUAAAAUAAUCUUUUUUCAAGUGAAAAGAAUAGAAUAAAUGAAUUAAACUCAAAA
Molecule: long non-coding RNA, 1133 nt
Organism: Aedes aegypti (yellow fever mosquito)
Lineage: Eukaryota; Metazoa; Arthropoda; Insecta; Diptera; Culicidae
Exons: 5
Source: RefSeq, a predicted model, not a curated record